Molecule: long non-coding RNA, 245 nt
Filed under: Sorghum bicolor (sorghum)
Lineage: Eukaryota; Viridiplantae; Streptophyta; Magnoliopsida; Poales; Poaceae
Description: long non-coding RNA (SBIC_LNC005795)
Source: RNAcentral
CUUCUUCCACUUCUUGGUCUGCUUUGCUUUGGUUUCCUGCCUCCAUCUCAGCCGUAGUCACCUUAUUGUUUCAGAUAAAAGAAAGAAGAAGAGUGUGAGGUGGCGCCGGGUAUUGGAGGAGACUGCUGCUGCUACCGAGUGUGAGGUGGCGGCGGGUACGGCUGGCUCGAGUCGGGCCAGGCCAGCGUGCUCUCCCAGUUCCAGUCGGCCGCCGCGGCGGACGCCUCGCUCUGUUGCGAGUCGUG